RNAcentral lists this long non-coding RNA (2696 nucleotides) under Daphnia pulex (common water flea). RNAcentral describes it as "uncharacterized LOC124188499". The record is from RNAcentral. Lineage: Eukaryota; Metazoa; Arthropoda; Branchiopoda; Diplostraca; Daphniidae.
UUCUAUAUAAUAACACCCCACCCACCCCUAACAACUCCCGCACCCCUCAAACACGAGUCUCAAUAAGCUGCUGCCAAAUGUGCUGUAACAUUUCAAAGACCACGCACUCCCUGUUCUGACAAACAAAUGCGCACAACCGGAGACCCAGCCGCUGGCAUUCGAUGAACCAAACGUCUGCUUGUUGUCUGACUGACAAAACUUGCAAGGUUAUGUGCAUUGCAUUGUCUUAGGUCCACCAACCCCUCAAUACUUGCAGUUUUCUGCUGACAGCUCGUUCACAUAAUUACUUCGACAGGACAAUUCCAAACAUAUUCCAGAGCAACGGCUACUAGCCUACUACCUAUGUGAAAUUAUUCACAGCGUGUUGUGAAAUUGGAAUAUGUCUUGAGACCAGCACCACAUUUGCAAGUAAAGACUAUUCUGACGAUGGGUUUGGUCUCAACAAUAGAAACGGGUAAGAAGCAACCAGCAACAUCUUUGAAAGAAAUGAACCACUUUCUAGAACUCUUGGGAUUUGAGAUAUCAUUCAGUAUGAACUUGUAUAAAGGAUAAAACCAGUAUGAACUGAUUCAAAGCAAUUUGGGAGAAAAAGACAAUAAUGACAGUUGAGUGACCCAUUCGGUCAAGCCGUCUAGAUCAACAAAACAACGCUUACACACUGGGGAGAAGUUCUUACCUGUAGAAUUUGAUGAUUUCAUCUGAUGUAAUAGUGUGUGAAAACUAUUGGUAAUCGAAUUUCACUGUCAAUAACUCAAUAUACAAGAAAGAAAUAGACAAAAACCUCCUCGAAAAUCAACACAACUUUUACGGACUUCACAAUCUUCUUUUGUCUACUACGGGCAACUCAACUCACGAAGCGCCCAAGGCUGACUUGGUCCCACGCAAAUCAUUUUUGUUUUCUCCUUUUUUACGGAAGCGGCAAACAACAGGCCAGAAGCCAAAAGGCAAGUUCUUGUUUUUACUGUAACCUUUUCUCCUCCAGCAGCAAUAUUUUUUUUUCGUGGGGAAUAAAUUUACGCAGGCAAAGAGUUGGAUUGCGUGUUGCACGCGCUCCUUAAAGAGUAAGUGUGGUUGGCUUCAUCCUCCCGAAGUCUCGGCCUCCUUCCGCUUGGCUAUACAGAACGCUCCUUAUAUGGAUAUUUUUCGCCGAUCACUGAAGACUAAGUGUAUACUAUCCCAUAGACUGCAGUGUCCAACAAAGGGAAGAAUGCUGAUAAGCUUCAUCAAAACAAAAAGUAGAGCGGAAUGCGUGAAUGAUAAUGUAACCUUGUGAAAUUGUAUGGUGCGCACGAAUAUAGACGACAUGACUGUAGAUGAAGCAAGGUUCGUAACAUUGUUUGUCUUUGGUUGAUAACAGGCGGCCAUCUAUGAGCCCCGGCCCUUAAAGUCUCAAAAAAUUUGAAGGAUAUUAAUUUUUAUAAUGUGAAGACUCUAAACCAACAGUUUUUGUAAAGAUGAACAAACACAUGAUUAUCAUAUUUCUGUCAGAAAUGACAACGACUUAUCGGUCUUAAAAACUAUGCUUAAGCGAAAAUUAGUAGAACGGAUGACCAUUAGAUUUCAGAUACGUAGGAGAUAACAGCGCUUUGAUUUUGAAUGAGGAGAACUUCUUCUAAAAGUCUGAUGUAAUCAAUUGCUCUCCUCUAAAAAAAAACACAGAUUGAUUCAAGUCGUUAAAAUUUAAUGGGUCAAAUGUACAGCCUUACCAAGAUAGCAACUUUACUCGAACGACGAGCUCUUACAUCUUCGUAAGCUGGACCUCUGGUUUUAUCGAUCGUGUUUCCUUCGCUUUCUCUAAAAUUAUGAUAAACAAAUUAGUAAUAAAGUGAAUCUUGUUUUAUUCAAAGUGGUUAAUGUGUACUACCCAAAGUCAGUUGGAACAACCUGGUGAAGUUUUGAAAAGGCAACAUUGACCUGAAAUUCACAUAAUUUACUUAAUUACGAUUGAAUACAUUAAAAUUGUAUCUACACUAUUAGCUUGAAAUCGGAAAAUCUAAAAAAAAUAAUUCGCUUACUGAUUGAACACGACGUCUCUCUCGUGCGUUUCGUCGAGCUACUUGAAACGCUGGACGGACGCUGUGCGGUAUGUGAGGAAUAUGGCGAUAAUUGGAUUUAAUGUUACACUUUUUCCCCCUGCACAAAAUUGCUACCUAAUUCAUUAAUAGCUAUUAAAACGCUACAGAAACUUACGUUCCUGUUCCGUGGGCGCCAAUAUCAUCCGAAUAAUGAGUAACAGAUGAUCCAUUGCUGUACGGACGGAAGUUCUCUUCUUGUGUACCCAGCGACGCAGAAUUCCAGUUUAUUCAAGGCGAAAUGUUUCAUUAACCAGCGGAUCUUACUGUCGACUGGACAACAAAUGAUAUACUUAUCGAUCGCUCCACUUGUUUUUAUCCGUUAAGGCAUAAUGGAGGAAGAGGGGAAGACGGAUCGUUAACAGGCGGAAGUGAUAUUUUUGUUUGCACCUGGCUUACCAGCAUGAAUCUCCCUCUUCUUUGAAACGUAUUCCCUCUUAAUUUCAUUUUCGUUUAUUUCGUUUCUGUGCGGUAAAAACCAUAAUGCAAUUGUUUUCUUUUGUUUGCCAUUGUUUAAAACACAUCUGAAUAAAACGCGGCACGAUCGUUAAGUACAAAAUGUUCUUAUUAACGACUGUUUUGCGUUUAAACAUUUGUUAAAUACAGAACUCUGUCCAUGCGGCA